UGGGGAAUAUUGCACAAUGGGGGAGACCCUGAUGCAGCGACGCCGCGUGAAGGAAGAAGUAUCUCGGUAUGUAAACUUCUAUCAGCAGGGAAGAAAGAGGACGGUACCUGACUAAGAAGCCCCGGCUAACUACGUGCCAGCAGCCGCGGUAAUACGUAGGGGGCGAGCGUUAUCCGGAUUUACUGGGUGUAAAGGGAGCGUAGACGGCCAUGCAAGCCUGAUGUGAAAGGCGUGGGCACAACCCGCGGACUGCAUUGGGAACUGCAUGGCUGGAGUGCCGGAGGGGCAGGCGGAAUUCCUGGUGUAGCGGUGAAAUGCGUAGAUAUCAGGAGGAACACCGGUGGCGUAGGCGGCCUGCUGGACGGCGACUGACGUUGAGGCUCGAAAGCGUGGGGAGCGAACAGG
Molecule: ribosomal RNA, 405 nt
Filed under: uncultured bacterium
Lineage: Bacteria
Description: bacterial SSU rRNA
Rfam family: Bacterial small subunit ribosomal RNA
Source: RNAcentral